RNAcentral lists this transfer RNA (71 nucleotides) under Siphoviridae sp. ctHip2. RNAcentral describes it as "tRNA-Met". It matches the Rfam family "tRNA". Rfam says of the family: Transfer RNA (tRNA) molecules are approximately 80 nucleotides in length. Lineage: Duplodnaviria; Heunggongvirae; Uroviricota; Caudoviricetes. The record is from RNAcentral.
UACGGGUUAGUGAAAAGGUAUCACAUAGGGCUCAUUACCCUAAAUUGGGGGUUCGAAUCCCUCGCCCGCAA